RNAcentral lists this ribosomal RNA (207 nucleotides) under uncultured bacterium. RNAcentral's name for it is "partial 16S ribosomal RNA". It matches the Rfam family "Bacterial small subunit ribosomal RNA", at positions 568 to 774 of the family's 1533-position model. The record is from RNAcentral.
AGCGUAGACGGAUGGGCAAGUCUGAUGUGAAAACCCGGGGCUCAACCCCGGGACUGCAUUGGAAACUGUUCAUCUAGAGUGCUGGAGAGGUAAGUGGAAUUCCUAGUGUAGCGGUGAAAUGCGUAGAUAUUAGGAGGAACACCAGUGGCGAAGGCGGCUUACUGGACAGUAACUGACGUUGAGGCUCGAAAGCGUGGGGAGCAAACA